GACACAGCUGAAAGAGAUUGACCCACAACCACUCUAGGGGCCAUCACCUGCCCUUCUUCAGUCCUGGGCGUGAAGGUAGAUUUCUCCCCUAGCCUGUGCGGGAGAGGAGCCCUGGUUUUUCUAACAAGGACUACUGUAGGUUCGCCGAGUUCGAGGGACGCUACGUAUGCAGCGCCUACGCCCGGACACAGGCUUCCGCGUUACCGACACCGCGUGGGGGAGGAGGGCAAGACCCGAGGCUUGCAGAGAUGGGGGGUGCACGGUGGCCACAGUAGGGAAGGUGCGGAGCAUGAUGGUGCUCUGUAGGAGCGCAGACGCUGAAAGGCGCGCUGCUGUGGCUGGGAGAAGAGCGGAGCCAGGAGUUUGUUCCCAAUAUCUUAGUGCUAUGGCAAAAGAAGGGGGAGGAGUAAUUGUGGGGCCCCCCACACACCCGCUGCGGCGAUACACUCACCCUCGCCAAAGUCCUUCCGGAAGUCUAAGUUCGAAGAUGGCGCCGCCUGUCUGGUCGCGGUCUUAUGACGAAAUCUUGUUAGCUGCUCUUCACUGACGCCCCCACCCCAGUGCACAAGCGCGGCCAGAGUCACCGAGCCCUCCGAAGCCAGCCGAGUUCCAGGGCGUCUUCAGCGGCGCCAGGGACGCUGCAGGGCCUCAUGGGAGUUGCAGUGUCAAAAAGGGGAGAUCGACGCCUGCGCGGCCAACGGGAUCCCACGCGGCCUCGACGGGAGCCGGGAGUAGGCGGACUCCCAGGCCGGGCUCGCGCUCUGGAUCCCUGAAUCCGGCCUUUCCGGCCGGACUGCCGCGCCUGUGGCCGGAAGAGCCAGCUAGACCAGAGAGUCUGUACCUGCAACCCUGGCGGCGUCCGAGCCCAAGGCGGAGUCUGGGAGACAAAGAAGUCCUCGCCGCCGGCCGCUGGAGGAUUCUGCCAGUAGUGAAAGAUGGGGUCUCGUUAUGUUGACCAGGCUGGUCUUGAACACCUGACCUGAAGUGAUCCUCUUGCCUCAGCCUCCCAUAGUGCUGCGAUCACAGGUGUAAGUCACUGAGUUUGGCCAUUAUUCCAUUUCUGUACACAAAAACCUUUCUCAUUCUGUGCUAUAACUAGUUAGCAUUUAAUUGGGUGGAUGUGGUAUAACUAGUGCCUUGUUGAUAUUGAUGCAUAUUUACAUGGUUUUGCUGUUAUAAACAAUGGUCCCUUGCUAUUAUAAAUCACACUGCUAUAAGUAACCUUGCAUCUAAAUUACUUCAAAUGUGUAACUAUAUGGGUAGGAUAAUUUCUAGAAGUGGAAUUGUGAACCAAAGUUUUAGGUGCAUUUGUAAUUUUGAUUUAUAACCAAUCUUUUCACUGAUCUACUUCUCUGCCUCUAAUUUCUACUAGGUGUUUGUUUGUUUGUUUGUUUGUUUUGAGACAGGGUCUUGCUCUGUCACCCAGGCUGGAGGACAGUGGUGCAAUCACGGCUCACUGCAGCCUCAACCUGCCACCUCAGCCUCCUGAAUAGUUGGGGUGUGUGGCAGGUGUAUACCACCACUUCCAGGUUUUUUUGUUGUUGUUGUUUAAUAGAGAUGAGGUCUUGCUAUAUUGCCCAGGCAGGUCUCACACUACUGAGCGCAAGCGAUCCUCCUGCCUAUGCCUCCCAAAGUGCUGGGAUUACAGGUGUGAGUUGCCAUGCCUGGCCCGGUUAUCUUUCUAAAGCAUAAAGCAACCCUGUUGAUCCUCUGCUUAAUUUUGAUGAUUAAGUAGUAUGUUCAAAAUAUAGAAAUCCAUGUAUUGAUAAUGAUCUUUUAAAAAAAGUAAAAGCCAAAAUAUCAGCUACUCAUCCUACACCAUUGAAAGUAGUGACCAUUAAACUGCUCUACCUCUACCUCCACCUCUCUACCUCUCUACCUCUCUACCUCUACCUCUACCCACGGUCUCCCUCUCUUUCCAUGGUCUCCCUCUCAUGUGGAGCCGAAGCUGGACUGUACUGCUGCCAUCUCGGCUCACUGCAACCUCCCUGCCUGAUUCUCCUGCCUCAGCCUGCCGAGUGCCUGCGAUUGCAGGCACGCGCUGCCACGCCUGACUGGUUUUGGUGGAGACGGGGUUUCGCUGUGUUGGCCGGGCCGGUCUCCAGCCCCUAACCGCGAGUGAUCCGCCAGCCUCGGCCUCCCGAGGUGCCGGGAUUGCAGACGGAGUCUCGUUCACUCAGUGCUCAAUGGUGCCCAGGCUGGAGUGCAGUGGCGUGAUCUCGGCUCGCUACAACCUACACCUCCCAGCCGCCUGCCUUGGCCUCCCAAAGUGCCGAGAUUGCAGCCUCUGCCCAGCCGCCACCCCGUCUGGGAAGUGAGGAGUGUCUCUGCCUGGCCGCCCAUCGUCUGGGAUGUGAGGAGCCCCUCUGCCUGGCUGCCCAGUCUGGAAAGUGAGGAGCGUCUCCGCCCGGCCGCCAUCCCAUCUAGGAAGUGAGGAGUGCCUCUUCCCAGCCGCCAUCACAUCUAGGAAGUGAGGAGCGUCUCUGCCCGGCCGCCCAUCGUCUGAGAUGUGGGGAGCGCCUCUGCCCCGCCGCCCCAUCUGGGAUGUGAGGAGCGCCUCUGCCCGGCCGCGACCCCGUCUGGGAGGUGAGGAGCGUCUCUGCCCGGCCGCCCCGUCUGAGAAGUGAGGAGCCACCCCAUCUGGGAAGUGAGGAGCAUCUCCGCCCGGCAGCCACCCCGUCCGGGAGGGAGGUGGGGGGUCAGCCCCCCGCCCGGCCAGCCGCCCCGUCCGGGAGGGAGGUGGGGGGGUCAGCCCCCUGCCCGGCCAGCCGCCCCGUCCGGGAGGUGAGGGGCGCCUCUGCCCGGCCGCCCCUACUGGGAAGUGAGGAGCCCCUCUGCCCGGCCACCACCCCGUCUGGGAGGUGUGCCCAACAGCUCAUUGAGAACGGGCCAGGAUGACAAUGGCGGCUUUGUGGAAUAGAAAGGCGGGAAAGGUGGGGAAAAGAUUGAGAAAUCGGAUGGUUGCCGUGUCUCUGUAGAAAGAAGUAGACAUGGGAGACUUUUCAUUUUGUUCUGCACUAAGAAAAAUUCUUCUGCCUUGGGAUCCUGUUGAUCUGUGACCUUACCCCCAACCCUGUGCUCUCUGAAACAUGUGCUGUGUCCACUCAGGGUUAAAUGGAUUAAGGGCGGUGCAAGAUGUGCUUUGUUAAACAGAUGCUUGAAGGCAGCAUGCUCGUUAAGAGUCAUCACCAAUCCCUAAUCUCAAGUAAUCAGGGACACAAACACUGCGGAAGGCCGCAGGGUCCUCUGCCUAGGAAAACCAGAGACCUUUGUUCACUUGUUUAUCUGCUGACCUUCCCUCCACUGUUGUCCCAUGACCCUGCCAAAUCCCCCUCUGUGAGAAACACCCAAGAAUUAGCAAUAAAAAAAUAAAUUAAAAAAUAAAAAAAUAAAAAAAUAAAAAAAACUCAUUAAGCUCUAAAAAAAAAAAAAAAAAAGAAAGAAAAAAAGAAAGUAGUGACCAAUUCCUGAAAAUUGGCAAAAAAAAAAAAAAGGCAAGAGUAAGGCAUUUAUCUUGUCUUUCCAGUAUGAACUCUAGUUCAAAAUAACUGAUGAGAGGAAGGUUUUGUUUGUUUUUUGAGACUGAGUCUCACUCUGUCGCCCAGGCUGGAGUGCAGUGGCGCGAUCUCGGCUCACUGCAACCUCUGCCUCCCAGGUUCAAGCAAUUCUUGUGCCUCAGCCUCCUGAGUAGCUGGGAUUACAGGCGCCCGCCACCACUCCCGGCUAAUUUUUGUAUUUUUUUAGUAGAGACGGGGUUUCACCAUGUUGGCGAGGCUGGUCUUGAACUCCUGACCUCAGGUGAUCCGCACACCUAAGCCUCCCAACGUGCUGGGAUUACGGGUGUGAGCCAUUGCCCAGCCCGGGAUUUUUUUUUUUUUUUAUAGAUUAACAGCUAGUAAUUGUGCAAAGAAUGAUAGAAAAAAAUCACUAUUUUGCAUGUCCCAGUGAAAUAAUUCAGGCAACAAUCACCAGUGGAUGAAAUCCCUAAAGAGCUUUUAGGAAGCUUUAAAAUGCCUGGACCCACUCAUCACUGAACAUGAAACCACCAGUCAUUGUUUGCCUCCUGAUGUGAGGCAAUAUAAAGCACACAGAACCACUUAUUAAACAUUCUUGCCCAAAAAAUUGAAUAGGAAUACAGGACUUAGGGGCCAGGCGUGGUGGCUCACACCUGUAAUCCCAGCACUUUGGGAGGCCAAGGAGGGCGGAUAAUCUGAGGUCAGGAGUUCAAGACCAGCCUGGCC
RNAcentral lists this long non-coding RNA (4241 nucleotides) under Homo sapiens (human). RNAcentral's name for it is "non-protein coding lnc-SNX17-1:6". Lineage: Eukaryota; Metazoa; Chordata; Mammalia; Primates; Hominidae. The record is from RNAcentral.